This 321-nucleotide ribosomal RNA is filed under the name uncultured bacterium. RNAcentral's name for it is "bacterial SSU rRNA". It matches the Rfam family "Bacterial small subunit ribosomal RNA", at positions 28 to 346 of the family's 1533-position model. The record is from RNAcentral.
GAUGAACGCUAGCGGGAGGCCUAAUACAUGCAAGUCGAACGGUAAGGUCCCUUCGGGGAUACACGAGUGGCGGACGGGUACGUAACGCGUACGAAACAUACCUUCAACAGGGAGAUACCUCCGGGGAAACUGGAAAUAAUACCCCAUAGUAUUGAGAUAUCGCAUGAUUAUUUCAAUUAAAGUCUUUGGCGAUUGAAGAUUGUCGUGCGUCUGAUUAGCUAGUUGGUGAGGUAACGGCUCACCAAGGCGACGAUCAGUAGCUGGUCUGAGAGGAUGAUCAGCCACACUGGAACUGAGACACGGUCCAGACUCCGUACGGGA